This 818-nucleotide ribosomal RNA is filed under the name Arthrobacter tecti. RNAcentral's name for it is "bacterial SSU rRNA". It matches the Rfam family "Bacterial small subunit ribosomal RNA", at positions 543 to 1358 of the family's 1533-position model. The record is from RNAcentral. Lineage: Bacteria; Bacillati; Actinomycetota; Actinomycetes; Micrococcales; Micrococcaceae.
UCCGGGAAUUAUUGGGCGUAAAGAGCUCGUAGGCGGUUUGUCGCGUCUGCCGUGAAAGUCCGGGGCUUAACUCCGGGAUCUGCGGUGGGUACGGGCAGACUUGAGUGAUGUAGGGGAGACUGGAAUUCCUGGUGUAGCGGUGAAAUGCGCAGAUAUCAGGAGGAACACCGAUGGCGAAGGCAGGUCUCUGGGCAUUAACUGACGCUGAGGAGCGAAAGCAUGGGGAGCGAACAGGAUUAGAUACCUGGUAGUCCAUGCCGUAAACGUUGGGCACUAGGUGUGGGGGACAUUCCACGUUUUCCGCGCCGUAGCUAACGCAUUAAGUGCCCCGCCUGGGGAGUACGGCCGCAAGGCUAAAACUCAAAGGAAUUGACGGGGGCCCGCACAAGCGGCGGAGCAUGCGGAUUAAUUCGAUGCAACGCGAAGAACCUUACCAAGGCUUGACAUGAACCGGAACGGCGCAGAGAUGUGUCGGCCACUUGUGGCCGGUUUACAGGUGGUGCAUGGUUGUCGUCAGCUCGUGUCGUGAGAUGUUGGGUUAAGUCCCGCAACGAGCGCAACCCUCGUUCCAUGUUGCCAGCGGGUUAUGCCGGGGACUCAUGGGAGACUGCCGGGGUCAACUCGGAGGAAGGUGGGGACGACGUCAAAUCAUCAUGCCCCUUAUGUCUUGGGCUUCACGCAUGCUACAAUGGCCGGUACAAAGGGUUGCGAUGCUGUGAGGUGGAGCUAAUCCCAAAAAGCCGGUCUCAGUUCGGAUUGAGGUAUGCAACUCGACCUCAUGAAGUGGGAGUCGCUAGUAAUCGCAGAUCAGCAUUGCU